Molecule: ribosomal RNA, 781 nt
Filed under: Strongyloides stercoralis
Lineage: Eukaryota; Metazoa; Nematoda; Chromadorea; Rhabditida; Strongyloididae
Description: SSU rRNA
Rfam family: Eukaryotic small subunit ribosomal RNA
Source: RNAcentral
AUUAUAACAGCUAUAGACUACACGGUAAAUAUUUUAGUUGGAUAACUGAGGUAAUUCUUGAGCUAAUACACGCUAUUUAUACCACAUUAGUGGUGCGUUUAUUUGAUUAAACCAUUUUAUAUUGGUUGACUCAAAAUAUCCUCGCUGAUUUUGUUACUAAAACAUACCGUAUGUGUAUCUGGUUUAUCAACUUUCGAUGGUAGGGUAUUGGCCUACCAUGGUUGUGACGGAUAACGGAGAAUUAGGGUUCGACUCCGGAGAGGGAGCCUGAGAAACGGCUACCACAUCCAAGGAAGGCAGCAGGCGCGAAAAUUACCCAAUUUUAGUUAAAAGAGGUAGUGACGAAAAAUGACAACCAAAUAUUAUUAUUAAUAUUUGGAUUGAAAAUCUUCAAGUAUAAAUAACUUGUUGGUAAAGGAAAGGGCAAGUCUGGUGCCAGCAGCCGCGGUAAUACCAGCUUUCCAAGUGCAUAAAAUGAUUGUUGUGGUUAAAAAGCUCGUAGUUGGAUUAUAAAGAUUGUAUAAUGAGCAUCUUGGAUGUUAUUUAAUCAUUAUCAUCUUAUAUUUUUAUUAUAUUAGAAAUAAUAUAAUAACUGUUACUUUGAAUAAAUCAGAGGGUUUAAACCAGACAUUAUAUGUUUGUAUGGUCUAGCAUGGAAUAACACUAUAGAAAAAUUUAGUGUGGUUUCACUUAAUUUUUCAUGAUUAAUAGGAACAAACGGGGGCAUUCGUAUCGCUACGUUAGAGGUGAAAUUCUUGGACCGUAGCGAGACGUCCUACUG